AUUGAACGCUGGCGGCAUGCCUUACACAUGCAAGUCGAACGGUAACGCGGGGCAACCUGGCGACGAGUGGCGAACGGGUGAGUAAUGCAUCGGAACGUGCCCAGUAGUGGGGGAUAGCCCGGCGAAAGCCGGAUUAAUACCGCAUACGACCUACGGGUGAAAGGGGGGGAUCGCAAGACCUCUCGCUAUUGGAGCGGCCGAUGUCAGAUUAGGUAGUUGGUGGGGUAAAGGCCUACCAAGCCGACGAUCUGUAGCUGGUCUGAGAGGACGACCAGCCACACUGGGACUGAGACACGGCCCAGACUCCUACGGGAGGCAGCAGUGGGGAAUUUUGGACAAUGGGCGCAAGCCUGAUCCAGCCAUGCCGCGUGCGGGAAGAAGGCCUUCGGGUUGUAAACCGCUUUUGUCAGGGAAGAAACGCGCUGAGUUAAUACCUCGGUGUAACGACGGUACCUGAAGAAUAAGCACCGGCUAACUACGUGCCAGCCGCCGCGGUAA
RNAcentral lists this ribosomal RNA (498 nucleotides) under uncultured bacterium. RNAcentral describes it as "partial 16S ribosomal RNA". It matches the Rfam family "Bacterial small subunit ribosomal RNA", at positions 29 to 523 of the family's 1533-position model. The record is from RNAcentral.